RNAcentral lists this ribosomal RNA (255 nucleotides) under uncultured bacterium. RNAcentral describes it as "partial 16S ribosomal RNA". It matches the Rfam family "Bacterial small subunit ribosomal RNA", at positions 524 to 777 of the family's 1533-position model. The record is from RNAcentral.
UACGUAGGGGGCGAGCGUUGUCCGGAGUUACUGGGCGUAAAGCGCACGCAGGCGGUCUGCUAAGUUUGGAGUGACAGUUGGUGGCUUAACUGCCAAAGUGCUUCGAAAACUGACAGACUUGAGGGCUUCAGAGGGACACGGAAUUCCGGGUGGAGUGGUGAAAUGCGUAGAGAUCCGGAGGGAACACCAAAGGCGAAGGCAGUGUCCUGGGGAGUACCUGACGCUCAGGUGCGAAAGCCAGGGGAGCGAACGGGG